This is a long non-coding RNA of Rhodamnia argentea, 318 nucleotides long. RefSeq lists it as uncharacterized. Lineage: Eukaryota; Viridiplantae; Streptophyta; Magnoliopsida; Myrtales; Myrtaceae. The record is from RefSeq and is a predicted model, not a curated record. The transcript is spliced from 2 exons.
AUGCGACAAGAUGCCCCUCUGUAAUCAGAAGAAGAUAAAUUGACUUCAAGUAGUACAGAAUGCUAGAAACUUUCCAGCCUAUACAAUCUGGUAUACAUUAGAUAUCUCCUUGUAGGGAACGCUCAAUCAGAUUAAAAAUCUAAGGAAAACAAUGUAGAUGCCUGACAGCAUUGAGAAUAUAUUCUGCAGGGCCUAAACCUACCAACUCCAUGUGGGCAUCAAGCAUUUCUGCAUGCGACAUAGCUAGUCUAUCUAUCAUAAAUGACAUCCCCACCAAUUCAAGUUCUUUAUGUUCAUGGACACUUAAACUGGUGUACC